UUAAAGCAUUAAAUAUUUUGAUGUGGAAUGAACAGGCAUGGGCUUUGUGCUAAUGUCUCUCGUUGUUGAUAAAGACACCACUUUGCUAAAUAGUGACCCGAACGCCAGCCAAGAAUGGAGUUACAAUAGAUAUGUAGAGAGACUAGAAAUUUAGGCAAUAUGCAAGCUGGAUAUGUAUUGGUAGAGCUUGAGCCAUGCAAUGGUAUAUUGACUAGUACCUAACAAAAGCUUUUGGAGGACAGGAGGCAAAGCCUUGGAUCCCUGAGGUGACAGAAAUGAGUGCUAGUUGACUUUGUUCUGUUUGUGUUUGCUAAUGGGUAUUGCAUUUUCAGCCACCAUUCUACAAAGCUUUUGAGUACUGGUUGCACCCAGCACCAUGAAUUAAUAGUUUAUAUGGAUUUGUCCCCCUUUUCAUCCAAUAUAACUCCACCACAUCGCUCCUCUCUCUAACCCUCUCUAGCUACCAGCAAUCACCAGAACAAUUCCCCAUGGCUGGUUCUCAGACCAAGGCAUUGAGUCUCAUUCUCCUCCUCCUCUUCAUCCAUUUAUCCAUAGGUUAGAUAGUUCUCUCCAGUCUCCAGACUAUAUCAUCUUGUUUGCAGGGUAUUCAUUAAUAAGUAACCUAUGAUUUCCAUUUCAUUCUCUUGUAGGCCAAGUUUUGGGAGUUGCACAAGGCAUGAAGUACGCAAACCCACAAAGUGAGGUAAGUGAGUGAAUUAUUCUCAAUGUGUAUGAGGUGAUAAGUAAUGUUUAAGCCUUAAAAAGACUACAGUAAUAUGGUGCUGUUAAUUCCCAUAGUAAUUUGAGAUGGGAUAAUGUGCUCUUCAUAAAGUUUUGAACAUAUCCCUUUGUUAAAUUUUGAGGUGAGUUACGUUGGUCAUUUUCUUAAAAUGUCAUGAUGUCAUGAUGUCAUGUGCAUAAUGGAGUGUUCUAAAUCUUUGCAUUGAUUAGAAAUAGGAUAAUGUCUUUCUCGUUGAACUAAUUUUUGAGGGUUAGCUAGGUGCUAACUUAUGUAUUAUGGUUUGUUUGGUUUGCAGCCAAUUAUUGCUGAAAUGAAGAAGAUGAGAAAACUCAUAGAGAUUGAUGCUAUGUUGGACUACGAAGGGGCGGGGGCUAAUUGCAAACAUGAUCCAUCAAAAAAACCUAUUGGUUGCAAGCCUUGAACUACAAAUUAUAUCUUCUUAGCUUUUGCUUAAGCAUCAAUGCCAGGAGGCCUUUAAUGAAAUAAACACUAGCUCUUUCUGUGGAGAGGGUACAUCAUUAAGGAGCUCAGCUCAAUGAUAGAGAGCUUGUAUUGUAUUUUUUACAGUGGAUGGAUUUACCAUGAAUCAAUGUGAAACUCUUUGCAGUUUAUCUUCUUUCUUAAUAUCUAAUAUAUGCUUUUGCGUAUCUCUAAUGCCAUCAUCUUUUCUUUCUUGAUAUAUAAUAUUAUUACACAG
Molecule: long non-coding RNA, 1439 nt
Filed under: Manihot esculenta (cassava)
Lineage: Eukaryota; Viridiplantae; Streptophyta; Magnoliopsida; Malpighiales; Euphorbiaceae
Description: long non-coding RNA (MESC_LNC000731)
Source: RNAcentral